AAAGGGGAGCUGUGCUACAACACCUCUAGGGUCAACUCUUCCAGGUUAAAGUGGAGCUUUGCUACAACCAGUGCCGGUUCAGACCUCCAUGGGGCCCUAAG
Alosa sapidissima (American shad) is the source of this 101-nucleotide long non-coding RNA. RefSeq lists it as uncharacterized. The transcript has 3 exons. The record is from RefSeq and is a predicted model, not a curated record. Lineage: Eukaryota; Metazoa; Chordata; Actinopteri; Clupeiformes; Clupeidae.